This 1499-nucleotide ribosomal RNA is filed under the name uncultured bacterium. RNAcentral's name for it is "bacterial SSU rRNA". It matches the Rfam family "Bacterial small subunit ribosomal RNA". The record is from RNAcentral.
UGGUUUGAUUCUGGCUCAGGAUGAACGCUGGCGGCAUGCCUAAUACAUGCAAGUCGAACGGAGUGAAGCCUUCGGGUUUCAUUCAGUGGCGAACGGGUGAGUAAUACGCAGGGAACCUGGCCAUGGCAGGGGGAUACACUCUGGAAACGGAGCAUAAGACCCCAUAGGCAGUAAGGCGGCAUCGCCUUACUGUUAAAGAAAGCUGAAAGGCUUUGGCGAUGGAUGGACCUGCGGUGCAUUAGCUUGUUGGUGAGGCAACGGCUUACCAAGGCGAUGAUGCAUAGCCGGCCUGAGAGGGCGGACGGCCACACUGGGACUGAGACACGGCCCAGACUCCUGCGGGAGGCAGCAGUAGGGAAUUUUCGUCAAUGGGCGCAAGCCUGAACGAGCAAUGCCGCGUGAGUGAGGAAGGUCUUCGGACUGUAAAGCUCUGUUGCCGGGGAAAAAGGGGAAAUGCAGGAAAUGGCAUUUCAUGGAUGGUACCCGGCCAGAAAGCCACGGCUAACUACGUGCCAGCAGCCGCGGUAAUACGUAGGUGGCGAGCGUUAUCCGGAAUGAUUGGGCGUAAAGGGUGCGCAGGCGGUCUGUUAAGUCUGAAGGCAAAGGGAUGAGCUCAACUCAUUUAUGAUUCAGAAACUGGCAGACUUGAGGACAGGAGAGGGCGGUGGAACUCCAUGUGUAGCGGUAAAAUGCGCAGAGAUAUGGAAGAACACCAGUGGCGAAGGCGGCCGCCUGGCCUGUGACUGACGCUGAGGCACGAAAGCGUGGGGAGCAAAUAGGAUUAGAUACCCUAGUAGUCCACGCCGUAAACGAUGAGGAGCAGGUGUUGGGAGUGAAAUCUCAGUGCCGAAGCCAACGCAGUGACUCCUCCGCCUGGGGAGUAUGCACGCAAGUGUGAAACUCAAAGGAAUUGACGGGGGCCCGCACAAGCGGUGGAGUAUGUGGUUUAAUUCGAAGCAACGCGAAGAACCUUACCAGGUUUUGACAUCGGAUGCGAAGGCGCAGAGAUGCGCUGGAGGCUAUCAUCCAGACAGGUGGUGCAUGGUUGUCGUCAGCUCGUGUCGUGAGAUGUUCAGUUAAGUCUGGCAACGAGCGCAACCCCCGUGGUAUGUUACUAACGCAUUUGGGCGAGGACUCAUAUCAGACUGCCGGUGACAAACCGGAGGAAGGCGGGGAUGACGUCAAAUCAUCAUGCCCCUUAUGACCUGGGCUACACACGUACUACAAUGGCGUCUACAGAGGGAAGCGACCCUGAGAAGGGAAGCGAAACCGGAAAAGGGCGUCCCAGUUCGGAUUGAAGUCUGCAACCCGACUUCAUGAAGAUGGAAUCGCUAGUAAUCGCGGAUCAGCAUGCCGCGGUGAAUACGUUCCCGGGCCUUGUACACACCGCCCGUCAAACCAUGGAAGCCGGCAACGCCCGAAGCCGGUGGCAUAACCUUUUAGGAGUGAGCCGUCGAAGGCGGGGCCGAUGACUGGGGUUAAGUCGUAACAAGGUACCC